This 395-nucleotide ribosomal RNA is filed under the name uncultured bacterium. RNAcentral's name for it is "bacterial SSU rRNA". It matches the Rfam family "Bacterial small subunit ribosomal RNA", at positions 64 to 507 of the family's 1533-position model. The record is from RNAcentral.
GAGCGCCCAGCAAUGGGAGCGGCGGACGGGUGAAUAACGCGUGGGAAUAUGCCCUUUGGUUCAGAACAACUCAGGGAAACUUGAGCUAAUACUGGAUGAGCCGGUAACGGGAAAGAUUUAUCGCCAAAGGAUUAGCCCGCGUCCGAUUAGCUAGUUGGUGAGGUAAUGGCUCACCAAGGCACCGAUCGGUAGCUGGUCUGAGAGGACGACCAGCCACACUGGGACUGAGACACGGCCCAGACUCCUACGGGAGGCAGCAGUGGGGAAUCUUGGACAAUGGAGGAAACUCUGAUCCAGCCAUGCCGCGUGAGUGAUGAAGGCCUUAGGGUUGUAAAACUCUUUCGGCGGGGACGAUAAUGACGGUACCCGCAGAAGAAGCUCCGGCUAACUUCGUG